This 108-nucleotide ribosomal RNA is filed under the name Cantharellus lateritius. RNAcentral's name for it is "partial 5.8S ribosomal RNA". The record is from RNAcentral. Lineage: Eukaryota; Fungi; Basidiomycota; Agaricomycetes; Cantharellales; Hydnaceae.
AACACCAAGCGAAUCAUCGAGUCUUUGAACGCAAACGGCACCCUUCCAGUCCAUUCCAACGCGGUGGCGGAGGAUGAAGACAAGGGUAUCUCUGGCUGAGGGUAAUGA